This 447-nucleotide ribosomal RNA is filed under the name uncultured bacterium. Its description in RNAcentral is "partial 16S ribosomal RNA". It matches the Rfam family "Bacterial small subunit ribosomal RNA", at positions 29 to 523 of the family's 1533-position model. The record is from RNAcentral.
AACGAACGCUGGCGGCAGGCUUAACACAUGCAAGUCGAGCGCCCCGCAAGGGGAGCGGCAGACGGGUGAGUAACGCGUGGGAAUCUACCCAUCCCUACGGAAUAGCUCCGGGAAACUGGAAUUAAUACCGUAUACGCCCUACGGGGGAAAGAUUUAUCGGGGAUGGAUGAGCCCGCGUUGGAUCAGCUAGUUGGUGGGGUAAAGGCCUACCAAGGCGACGAUCCAUGGCUGGUCUGAGAGGAUGAUCAGCCACAUUGGGACUGAGACACGGCCCAAACUCCUACGGGAGGCAGCAGUGGGGAAUAUUGGACAAUGGGGGCAACCCUGAUCCAGCCAUGCCGCGUGAGUGAUGAAGGCCUUAGGGUUGUAAAGCUCUUUCACCGGGGAAGAUAAUGACGGUACCCGGAGAAGAGGCCCCGGCUAACUUCGUGCCAGCCGCCGCAGUAA